This is a long non-coding RNA of Arachis stenosperma, 754 nucleotides long. RefSeq lists it as uncharacterized. Lineage: Eukaryota; Viridiplantae; Streptophyta; Magnoliopsida; Fabales; Fabaceae. The transcript has 3 exons. The record is from RefSeq and is a predicted model, not a curated record.
AUCUGAUAAAAUGUUGUCGUCAGUACUAAGGUGUCCACAUAGUAUUACUAAUAAUGCUAAACUUUUCCAUCAUAACGAGUCUGCUACAACGCCUUUUCACUCAUCAAACAGAACCAUCACGAAAUGUUUGCCUCCGCCACAGUUGUGUUUGGGGUACAGGUGUUCAAAGAGGGAUGAACAAGUCACACCAUUUUCUGAGCUUUGAAAGAGGAGGAUAGUGUUUGGGAUAGUGGAGAUGUAUGGACGAAUCUUGCUCUCUAUGUGUUCACUCUCCAUAUCCCUUUCAGCUUUGGAGGCUUAUCCGUUGUUUCUUUGCUUUCCCGACAACCUCACCUUCACCCACAAAUUCAGGCCUUGUCACUUCUCACAAUUCAAAUUCUGGAGCUUUAUGGAGCUCUGAUUUUACUGAAGUACACGGCUAAGCCGCAACAUGAUUUUACAAAAUUAUUCAAAAAUACUAGCAAGUCAUUGAAUGACAGGAACUGGUUUCUAGCAUCAGCACUGGGAUUCGGGUUUCUCCUUCUUCUGAUUUUUCUCACAUCACUUCUUGCUGAUGGAUUAUUUGGACCUAAGGUUGGUAGAAAUUCAGAUCAUAAACUAUUACCGCAAAUUUUGUAGCACUUACCUCUAAGGUUUGAACUACAAGUUAGUAGAUUCAAGCCGUAUUUAACCAAUUUGAGUUGGUUGAGUGAUUAGCACUUAAACAAAUGUCGGAGUUUCGAAUCGCGCGUUGUAUAUACAACUCAUUAGCCAG